This 73-nucleotide transfer RNA is filed under the name Stegodyphus mimosarum. It matches the Rfam family "tRNA". Rfam says of the family: Transfer RNA (tRNA) molecules are approximately 80 nucleotides in length. Their secondary structure includes four short double-helical elements and three loops (D, anti-codon, and T loops). Lineage: Eukaryota; Metazoa; Arthropoda; Arachnida; Araneae; Eresidae. The record is from Rfam by way of RNAcentral.
GCCUUCGUGGUGUAGUGGUCAUCACGCUCGACGCGUAACCGAGACGUCCGUGGUUCAAUUCCCCGCAAAAGCG